GACGAACGCUGGCGGCGUGCUUAACACAUGCAAGUCGAACGCUGAAGCACCAGCUUGCUGGUGUGGAUGAGUGGCGAACGGGUGAGUAAUACGUGAGUAACCUGCCCUUGACUCUGGGAUAAGCCCAGGAAACUGGGUCUAAUACUGGAUGCUACAUGUCACCGCAUGGUGGGGGGUGGAAAGGGUUUGCUGGUCUUGGAUGGGCUCACGGCCUAUCAGCUUGUUGGUGGGGUAAUGGCUCACCAAGGCGACGACGGGUAGCCGGCCUUGGGGGGUGACCGGCCACACUGGGACUGGGACACGGCCCAGACUCCUACGGGGGGCAGCAGUGGGGAAUAUUGCACAAUGGGCGAAAGCCUGAUGCAGCGACGCCGCGUGGGGGAUGACGGCCUUCGGGUUGGAAACCUCUUUCAGCAGGGAAGAAGCCACAAGUGACGGUACCUGCAGAAGAAGCGCCGGCUAACUACGUG
RNAcentral lists this ribosomal RNA (470 nucleotides) under uncultured bacterium. RNAcentral's name for it is "partial 16S ribosomal RNA". It matches the Rfam family "Bacterial small subunit ribosomal RNA", at positions 28 to 507 of the family's 1533-position model. The record is from RNAcentral.